UGAGAGCUGUACUACGUGUGCACAAGGCUUU
This 31-nucleotide non-coding RNA is filed under the name Rattus norvegicus (Norway rat). The record is from RNAcentral. Lineage: Eukaryota; Metazoa; Chordata; Mammalia; Rodentia; Muridae.